Molecule: ribosomal RNA, 238 nt
Filed under: uncultured bacterium
Lineage: Bacteria
Description: partial 16S ribosomal RNA
Rfam family: Bacterial small subunit ribosomal RNA
Source: RNAcentral
CGGCGGACGGGUGAGUAACGCGUGGGUAACCUACCCUGUACACACGGAUAACAUACCGAAAGGUAUGCUAAUACAGGAUAAUAUAUUUGAGAGGCAUCUCUUGAAUAUCAAAGGUGAGCCAGUACAGGGUGGACCCGCGUCUGAUUAGCUAGUUGGUAAGGUAACGGCUUACCAAGGCGACGAUCAGUAGCCGACCUGAGAGGGUGAUCGGCCACAUUGGAACUGAGACACGGUCCAA